CACUCAGGUGGCUUAAGUGGUUAGAGCAUCUGCCUUGAAUGUGAGAAUUCAUGGGUUCAAACCCCAGCUGAGUGA
This is a non-coding RNA of Potamilus streckersoni, 75 nucleotides long. The record is from the annotation of a GenBank genome assembly. NCBI's taxonomy places the organism in Eukaryota, Metazoa, Mollusca, Bivalvia, Unionida, Unionidae.